RNAcentral lists this ribosomal RNA (755 nucleotides) under uncultured bacterium. RNAcentral's name for it is "bacterial SSU rRNA". The stretch from base 27 to 645 matches the Rfam family "Bacterial small subunit ribosomal RNA", at positions 9 to 546 of the family's 1533-position model. The record is from RNAcentral.
CAUCCUGCUACUCGAAUGCUUAGAUUAAGUUGAUCAUGGCUCAGAUCGAACGCUGUAGGCAGGCCUAACACAUGCAAGUCGAGCGGAUGACGGGAGCUUGCUCCUUGAUUCAGCGGCGGACGGGUGAGUAAUGCCUAGGAAUCUGCCUGGUAGUGGGGGACAACGUUUCGAAAGGAACGCUAAUACCGCAUACGUCCUACGGGAGAAAGCAGGGGACCUUCGGGCCUUGCGCUAUCAGAUGAGCCUAGGUCGGAUUAGCUAGUUGGUGGGGUAAUGGCUCACCAAGGCGACGAUCCGUAACUGGUCUGAGAGGAUGAUCAGUCACACUGGAACUGAGACACGGUCCAGACUCCUACGGGAGGCAGCAGUGGGGAAUAUUGGACAAUGGGCGAAAGCCUGAUCCAGCCAUGCCGCGUGUGUGANGAAGGUCUUCGGAUUGUAAAGGCACUAUAAGUUUGGGACGGAACGGGCAGUCAGUUGAAUACCUUGGCUGUUUGACGUUUACCGACAGAANUAANGCNCCGGCUAACUCUGUGCCCAGCNNGUCCGCCGGGGUACAUUAACACGGACGNGGGGUGCCGACAGCCGUUUGGAUCCGGGNGAGAUUUUACUUGUGCGCGGUUGCAGAGGGCGCGGCGUUUGNGCUUGGUCUCUGGUUUGACGUUUGGCACUGUUGANAGAUCGCCCCCCGGGGNUCAUACCUGGUGGGAACUGUCUACCAGAUCNUNGGCCAAUGCUUGAAGUGUACGGGNGCA